AGGGCGCACGGUGGAUGCCUUGGCACCAGGAACCGAUGAAGGACGUGGGAGGCCGCGAUAGGCCCCGGGGAGCUGUCAACCGAGCUGUGAUCCGGGGGUGUCCGAAUGGGGAAACCCGGCAGUCGUCAUGGGCUGUCACCUACUGCUGAACACAUAGGCAGUAUGGAGGGAACGCGGGGAAGUGAAACAUCUCAGUACCCGCAGGAAGAGAAAACAACCGUGAUUCCGGGAGUAGUGGCGAGCGAAACCGGAUGAGGCCAAACCGUAUGCGUGUGAUACCCGGCAGGGGUUGCGUAUGCGGGGUUGUGGGAUCGCACUUUCAUGGUCUGCCGGCCAUGAGGCGAGUCAGAAACCGUUGAUGUAGGCGAAGGGCAUGCGAAAGGCCCGGCGUAGAGGGUAAGACCCCCGUAGCUGAAACAUUAGCGGCUUGCUUGUGCGACACCCAAGUAGCACGGGGCCCGAGAAAUCCCGUGUGAAUCUGGCGGGACCACCCGUUAAGCCUAAAUAUUCCCUGGUGACCGAUAGCGGAUAGUACCGUGAGGGAAUGGUGAAAAGUACCGCGGGAGCGGAGUGAAAUAGUACCUGAAACCGUGUGCCUACAAGCCGUGGGAGCGUCGGAUGUACUUUGUGCAUCUCGUGACUGCGUGCCUUUUGAAGAAUGAGCCUGCGAGUUUGCGGUGUGUUGCGAGGUUAACCCGUGUGGGGAAGCCGUAGCGAAAGCGAGUCCGAAUAGGGCGACCAGAGUAGCGCGCCCAAGACCCGAAGCGGAGUGAUCUAGCCAUGGGCAGGUUGAAGCGGCUGUAAGAGGUCGUGGAGGACCGAACCCACCAGGGUUGAAAACCUGGGGGAUGACCUGUGGUUAGGGGUGAAAGGCCAAUCAAACUCCGUGAUAGCUGGUUCUCCCCGAAAUGCAUUUAGGUGCAGCGUCGUGUGUUUCUUGCCGGAGGUAGAGCACUGGAUAGGCGAUGGGCCCUACCGGGUUACUGACCUUAGCCAAACUCCGAAUGCCGGUAAGUGAGAGCGCGGCAGUGAGACUGUGGGGGAUAAGCUCCAUGGUCGAGAGGGAAACAGCCCAGAGCAUCGACUAAGGCCCCUAAGCGUACGCUAAGUGGGAAAGGAUGUGGAGUCGCAGAGACAACCAGGAGGUUGGCUUAGAAGCAGCCACCCUUGAAAGAGUGCGUAAUAGCUCACUGGUCAAGUGAUUCCGCGCCGACAAUGUAGCGGGGCUCAAGCGUACCGCCGAAGUCGUGUCAUUGCAGCAUGUACAUCUAACGGUGGCUGUGAUGGGUAGGGGAGCGUCGUGUGCCGGGUGAAGCAGCGCCGGAAGGUAGUUGUGGACGGUUCACGAGUGAGAAUGCAGGCAUGAGUAGCGAUACAAGAGUGGGAAACUCUUGCGCCGAUUGACUAAGGGUUCCUGGGUCAAGCUGAUCUGCCCAGGGUAAGUCGGGACCUAAGGCGAGGCCGACAGGCGUAGUCGAUGGACAACCGGUUGAUAUUCCGGUACCCGCUUUGAAGCGCCAGCGCUGAACCAGGCGAUGCUAAGUCCGUGAAGCCGCCCUGAUCUCUUCGGAGUUGAGGGGAGUGGUGGAGCCGACGGACCAGACCUGUAGUAGGUGAGCGAUGGGGUGACGCAGGAAGGUAGUCCAGCCCGGGCGGUGGUUGUCCCGGGGUAAGGGUGUAGGACGUCACGUAGGCAAAUCCGCGUGACACAUAGUCUGAGACCUGAUGCCGAGCCGAUUGUGGUGAAGUGGAUGAUCCUAUGCUGUCGAGAAAAGCCUCUAGCGAGUUUCAUGGCGGCCCGUACCCUAAACCGACUCAGGUGGUCAGGUAGAGAAUACCGAGGCGUUCGGGUGAACUAUGGUUAAGGAACUCGGCAAAAUGCCCCCGUAACUUCGGGAGAAGGGGGGCCAUGUCCGGUGAUGAGACACGCUCUCUGAGCUGGGUGUGGCCGCAGAGACCAGCGAGAAGCGACUGUUUACUAAAAACACAGGUCCGUGCGAAGCCGUAAGGCGAUGUAUACGGACUGACGCCUGCCCGGUGCUGGAACGUUAAGGGGACCGGUUAGCUCCAUUUCGGUGGGGCGAAGCUGAGAACUUAAGCGCCAGUAAACGGCGGUGGUAACUAUAACCAUCCUAAGGUAGCGAAAUUCCUUGUCGGGUAAGUUCCGACCUGCACGAAUGGCGUAACGACUUCUCGACUGUCUCAACCAUAGGCCCGGUGAAAUUGCACUACGAGUAAAGAUGCUCGUUUCGCGCAGCAGGACGGAAAGACCCCGGGACCUUUACUAUAGCUUGAUAUUGGUGUUCGGUUCGGCUUGUGUAGGAUAGGUGGGAGACUGUGAAGCAUGCACGCCAGUGUGUGUGGAGUCGUCGUUGAAAUACCACUCUGGUCGUGCUGGAUGUCUAACCUGGGUCCGUGAUCCGGAUCAGGGACAGUGUCUGGUGGGUAGUUUAACUGGGGCGGUUGCCUCCUAAAGGGUAACGGAGGCGCCCAAAGGUUCCCUCAGCCUGGUUGGUAAUCAGGUGUUGAGUGUAAGUGCACAAGGGAGCUUGACUGUGAGACCGACGGGUCGAGCAGGGACGAAAGUCGGGACUAGUGAUCCGGCGGUGGCUUGUGGAAGCGCCGUCGCUCAACGGAUAAAAGGUACCCCGGGGAUAACAGGCUGAUCUUCCCCAAGAGUCCAUAUCGACGGGAUGGUUUGGCACCUCGAUGUCGGCUCGUCGCAUCCUGGGGCUGGAGUCGGUCCCAAGGGUUGGGCUGUUCGCCCAUUAAAGCGGUACGCGAGCUGGGUUUAGAACGUCGUGAGACAGUUCGGUCCCUAUCCGCUGUGCGCGUAGGAGUCUUGAGAAGGGCUGUCCCUAGUACGAGAGGACCGGGACGGACGAACCUCUGGUGUGCCAGUUGUCCUGCCAAGGGCAUGGCUGGUUGGCUACGUUCGGGAGGGAUAACCGCUGAAAGCAUCUAAGCGGGAAGCCUGCUUCGAGAUGAGGGCUCCCACCCACUUGA
This 3006-nucleotide ribosomal RNA is filed under the name Streptomyces orinoci. RNAcentral's name for it is "bacterial LSU rRNA". It matches the Rfam family "Bacterial large subunit ribosomal RNA". Lineage: Bacteria; Bacillati; Actinomycetota; Actinomycetes; Kitasatosporales; Streptomycetaceae. The record is from RNAcentral.